CUUUUUGCCAGCCAUCUCAUUCCAAGCAGUCAAACCAGAAUGUAACUCUUUAAAGAUAUAAUAGAAGGUACAAAUCGGAAUAUCCCAGAAGAAUGCCAAAAACAAAGGGCUAUUCUGCAAUGACAUAAUAGCAUAGUAUGCCUUAAUGGAUUUGUGUGUGGCUACGCCCCGGCCACUUUUAAACAUUACACUUGUAAUGAUAUAAAAAUCCUGAUUAUUCACUGUUACAGAAUAGUCUACUGAGGGCUCCACAGCCAUCCUUUUCUAUUUCUACUGUUCUGAGAAUAUGUAAAGGGUCACACCAACCACACUGCACAUCCAGUUAUUUUUUUUGUGCUGGGGACUAG
Molecule: non-coding RNA, 347 nt
Organism: Pelobates cultripes (western spadefoot toad)
Lineage: Eukaryota; Metazoa; Chordata; Amphibia; Anura; Pelobatidae
Source: the annotation of a GenBank genome assembly